RNAcentral lists this ribosomal RNA (490 nucleotides) under uncultured bacterium. RNAcentral's name for it is "partial 16S ribosomal RNA". It matches the Rfam family "Bacterial small subunit ribosomal RNA", at positions 30 to 507 of the family's 1533-position model. The record is from RNAcentral.
AUUGAACGCUGGCGGCAGGCCUAACACAUGCAAGUCGAAUGGUAACAGGAAACAGCUUGCUGUUUCGCUGACGAGUGGCGGACGGGUGAGUAAUGUCUGGGAAACUGCCUGAUGGAGGGGGAUAACUACUGGAAACGGUAGCUAAUACCGCAUAACGUCGCAAGACCAAAGAGGGGGACCUUCGGGCCUCUUGCCAUCAGAUGUGCCCAGAUGGGAUUAGCUAGUAGGUGGGGUAACGGCUCACCUAGGCGACGAUCCCUAGCUGGUCUGAGAGGAUGACCAGCCACACUGGAACUGAGACACGGUCCAGACUCCUACGGGAGGCAGCAGUGGGGAAUAUUGCACAAUGGGCGCAAGCCUGAUGCAGCCAUGCCGCGUGUAUGAAGAAGGCCUUCGGGUUGUAAAGUACUUUCAGCGGGGAGGAAGGGAGUAAAGUUAAAACCUUUGCUCAUUGACGUUACCCGCAGAAGAAGCACCGGCUAACUCCGUG